RNAcentral lists this ribosomal RNA (520 nucleotides) under uncultured Glomus. Its description in RNAcentral is "SSU rRNA". It matches the Rfam family "Eukaryotic small subunit ribosomal RNA", at positions 569 to 1089 of the family's 1831-position model. Lineage: Eukaryota; Fungi; Glomeromycota; Glomeromycetes; Glomerales; Glomeraceae. The record is from RNAcentral.
AGCAGCCGCGGUAAUUCCAGCUCCAAUAGCGUAUAUUAAAGUUGUUGCAGUUAAAAAGCUCGUAGUUGAAUUUCGGGAUCAGACUGUCGGUCGUGCCUCGGUACGCACUGGCAUUAUUGGUUCCUACCUUCUGAAGAACCGCGAUGUCAUUAAUUUGGUGUCGCGGGGAAUCAGGACUGUUACUUUGAAAAAAUUAGAGUGUUUAAAGCAGGCUUACGCUUGAAUACAUUAGCAUGGAAUAAUGAAAUAGGACGUUUGAUUCUAUUUUGUUGGUUUCUAGGAUCGACGUAAUGAUUAAUAGGGAUAGUUGGGGGCAUUAGUAUUCAAUUGUCAGAGGUGAAAUUCUUGGAUUUAUUGAAGACUAACUACUGCGAAAGCAUUUGCCAAGGAUAGUUUUCAUUAAUCAAGAACGAAAGUUAGGGGAUCGAAGACGAUCAGAUACCGUCGUAGUCUUAACCAUAAACCUAUGCCGACUAGGGAUCGGAUGAUGUUAAUUUUUAAUGACUCAUUACGGCGCCUU